Molecule: ribosomal RNA, 253 nt
Filed under: uncultured bacterium
Lineage: Bacteria
Description: partial 16S ribosomal RNA
Rfam family: Bacterial small subunit ribosomal RNA
Source: RNAcentral
UACGUAGGGUGCGAGCGUUAAUCGGAAUUACUGGGCGUAAAGCGUGCGCAGGCGGUUCGUUGUGUCGGCGGUGAAAGCCCCGGGCUUAACCUGGGAAUGGCCGUUGAAACUGGCGAACUGGAGUGUGGCAGAGGGGGGUGGAAUUCCGCGUGUAGCAGUGAAAUGCGUAGGGAUGCGGAGGAACACCGAUGGCGAAGGCAGCCCCCUGGGCUAACACUGACGCUCAGGCACGAAAGCGUGGGGAGCAAACAGG